This 253-nucleotide ribosomal RNA is filed under the name uncultured bacterium. RNAcentral's name for it is "partial 16S ribosomal RNA". It matches the Rfam family "Bacterial small subunit ribosomal RNA", at positions 524 to 776 of the family's 1533-position model. The record is from RNAcentral.
UACGUAGGGUGCAAGCGUUGUCCGGAAUUAUUGGGCGUAAAGCGCGUGUAGGCGGCUUUGCAAGUCGGGUGUGAAAGCCCUCAGCUCAACUGAGGAAGUGCGCCCGAAACUGCAGAGCUUGAGUGCCGGAGAGGGUGGCGGAAUUCCCCAAGUAGAGGUGAAAUUCGUAGAUAUGGGGAGGAACACCGGUGGCGAAGGCGGCCACCUGGACGGCAACUGACGCUGAGACGCGAAAGCGUGGGUAGCAAACAGG